UGCCAGCUUCAUCUGCCUCCCACUCCUUCA
This 30-nucleotide non-coding RNA is filed under the name Mus musculus (house mouse). The record is from RNAcentral. Lineage: Eukaryota; Metazoa; Chordata; Mammalia; Rodentia; Muridae.